RNAcentral lists this ribosomal RNA (397 nucleotides) under uncultured bacterium. Its description in RNAcentral is "partial 16S ribosomal RNA". It matches the Rfam family "Bacterial small subunit ribosomal RNA", at positions 523 to 918 of the family's 1533-position model. The record is from RNAcentral.
AUACGUAGGGGGCGAGCGUUGUCCGGAAUGAUUGGGCGUAAAGGGCGCGUAGGCGGCGCGGUAAGUCUGGAGUGAAAGUCCUGCUUUCAAGGUGGGAAUUGCUUUGGAUACUGCCGCGCUUGAGUGCAGGAGAGGUUAUCGGAAUUCCCGGUGUAGCGGUGAAAUGCGUAGAGAUCGGGAGGAACACCAGUGGCGAAGGCGGGUAACUGGACUGCAACUGACGCUGAGGCGCGAAAGUGUGGGGAGCAAACAGGAUUAGAUACCCUGGUAGUCCACACUGUAAACGAUGAAUGCUAGGUGUAAGAGGUAUCGACCCCUUUUGUGCCGGAGGCAACACAAUAAGCAUUCCGCCUGGGGAGUACGGCCGCAAGGCUGAAACUCAAAGGAAUUGACGGGG